This 485-nucleotide ribosomal RNA is filed under the name uncultured Lysobacterales bacterium. RNAcentral's name for it is "bacterial SSU rRNA". It matches the Rfam family "Bacterial small subunit ribosomal RNA", at positions 30 to 524 of the family's 1533-position model. The record is from RNAcentral. Lineage: Bacteria; Pseudomonadati; Pseudomonadota; Gammaproteobacteria; Lysobacterales.
AUUGAACGCUGGCGGUAUGCUUAACACAUGCAAAGUCGAACGGUAACGGCAGAGAGCUUGCUCUUUGGACGACGAGUGGCGGACGGGUGAGUAAUAUAUAGGAACCUUCCUCGUAGUUUAGGAUAACUGUCCGAAAGGAUGGCUAAUACUGAAUGUGAACUACGGUUUAAAGCAGGGGAUCUUCGGACCUUGUGCUAUGAGAUGGGCCUAUACAAGAUUAGCUAGUUGGUGAGGUAAAUGCUCACCAAGGCGACGAUCUUUAGCUGGUUUGAGAGGAUGAUCAGCCACACUGGGACUGAGACACGGCCCAGACUCCUACGGGAGGCAGCAGUGGGGGAUAUUGCACAAUGGAGGAAACUCUGAUGCAGCGACGCCGCGUGAACGAUGACGGUCUUCGGAUUGUAAAGUUCUGUCAACGGGGACGGANAAAUGACGGUACCCGUGGAGGAAGCCACGGCUAACUACGUGCCAGCAGCCGCAGUAAC